CUUCCCCUAUUUCCCAUCCUCCUUAUAGUACUCCAACACCUCCACAAACACCUUCUCCAAGUUCUCAACCACCCCAUGUAACAACACCUCCAAAAACACCCUCUCCUAUUUCUCAACCUCCCUAUGUUUUGUCACCUCCAAAAACACCCUCUCCAAGUUCUCAAGCUCCCUAUGUAACAACACCUCCAAAAACACCCUCUCCAAGUUCUCAACCACCCUAUGUGCUAACACCUCCAAAAACUUCUUCACCAAGUUCUCAACCUCCAUAUGUGCUAACCCCUCCAAAAACACCCUCUCCAAGUUCUCAACCUCCCUAUGUUCCAUCACCUCCAAAAACACCCUCUCCAAUUGCUCAAGCUCCCUAUGUACUAUCACCUCCAAACACACCCUCUCCAAUUUCUCAACCACCCUAUGUAACAACACCUCCAAGCACUCCUUCUCCUAUCAAUCAACCACCCUAUGUAACAACACCCCCAAAACCCAGUUCUCCUAUUUCUCAACCUCCAUAUAUAUCAACACCUCCAAACACUCCUUCUCCUAUCAAUCAACCACCCUAUAUAACAACACCUCCAAAACCCAGUUCUCCUACUUCCCAACCUCCAUAUAUAUCAACUCCUCCACCAACCCCUUCUCCUAUUUCUCAAUCUCCCUAUGUAACAACACCUCCUAAACCCAUUUCUCCUUCUUCUCAACCUCCAUAUAUAUCAUCACCUCCAACAACAACCCCAUCUCCUAUUUCUCAACCUCCCUAUGUCUCAACACCUCCAAAAACUGCUUCUCCUACUUCUCAACCUCCACAUAUAUCAAUACCUCCACAAACUAGUUACCCCAUUUCUCAACCUCCAUAUAUUUCACAAC
This 858-nucleotide long non-coding RNA is filed under the name Lupinus angustifolius (narrow-leaved blue lupine). RNAcentral describes it as "long non-coding RNA (LANG_LNC000875)". Lineage: Eukaryota; Viridiplantae; Streptophyta; Magnoliopsida; Fabales; Fabaceae. The record is from RNAcentral.